Molecule: non-coding RNA, 619 nt
Organism: Leptonychotes weddellii (Weddell seal)
Lineage: Eukaryota; Metazoa; Chordata; Mammalia; Carnivora; Phocidae
Source: RefSeq, a predicted model, not a curated record
CAUGGCGGAAGCCUGUCGGAGGUUUGCUACCUUUUCACAGCAACAAGCAGUGAGAUUAGCUAGCGUUGGUGAUACGUCUUGUCUCGCGGGAGGCAGGUCAUCUCUUAGGAUUUUCGGGAUAUGAUCCCCACUCUCCCUGAAGAAUGACACCACGUCCAUGAAGAAGCAUCUAAAGACCCCUCCCCAAGCAACUCCAAGGAGGUUUUCAGAUUUCUUCGAAGCUCCAUUAGAAUGGGUAGUCACGGGGGAUGGAAGCGUCAGUUUAGCAGACAAAAUGUUUGUCGAGUUCCCAAAAGAGAAAUCUAAGCCUGUUCAAGAAGUGAACCGAAAGCUACCUAGAAUCCUGACUUCUUUCUUGUUCCUGUAACCUUUCCGAGAUGUGAACACAUCCCAGUCAUGACCAAACUGGCAUGGUAGUCAUAAGCCUACCUGGCACGAUAUAUUUAGAGUGAAAAAAAAGUGCAUGUUACAUCUACUUUCAAAAUUUUCAUCUUAGGAGCCCCAAAGCCGAGCAAGACAGUGUCUCAGCCCAAGCAACCCAAAGCCAUCAGGAAUAAACUUGUAGUCCUGCAAAAUCAGGUCAUGAUCAUCUGGCUCACUGCUCAGCAGGGAUUCUGUU